Long non-coding RNA from Drosophila arizonae, 289 nucleotides. Lineage: Eukaryota; Metazoa; Arthropoda; Insecta; Diptera; Drosophilidae. The record is from RefSeq and is a predicted model, not a curated record.
UAUCUCUUUCUUUCCAUCUCUAAUGCUUUGUGCAGCUCUUUCAUGUCCAUUGUUCCGCAGCUCUUGCCCAGUUCCAUUUGGUUCCUCUUUGGCGCAUUGUCACGUCAGUUUGCAACAGUCUAAUUCACAAUAGAUCAUUGUGCUUGCGUUUAAAACCAUUGAAGACUUAUGUGAAUGAGUCUCACUAUAUGGUCAUACAACUUUAAUAGCUAACAGUGGGGUAGAGAUAGAGAGAGAGAGAGAGGGAGAGAGAGUUUGAAAGGGGAGAGGAACAGCAGAGAGGGAGACA